UCGAAAUAUAAGUGAAUUUUUUUACCAAUAACAAAGCAAAAUUUCAUUAGCAAAAUUAACCUUUAGCUUGUAAAAAAAGACACUAGGUUAGGUUAGGUUGAAAAGAGGGUGCAGAUAUUAAUCCGCCCCUUGCCACUAUGGAUAUACACCUAAGCCAGUAAUUGGCUUGUUGUGCGCUCUAAAUACAAAACAAGUUGGUUCAUAUCUGGUAUAGUGUCCCCACCCCAAGUGCCGGUAUCUGUUAGAAGCGAAGGCGGGGCAAUGACAAAAGGAAAUGCUCCAACGUCUCAUCAUCUUCCCCGCAUGCCCCACACAUGCUAUCACUUGCCGCACCGAUUUUACAUAAUAAAAAAUGGCAUUAAUAGAAAUCUUUUCCAACAAAAUGCUAUAAAACAAAUAAAAGCGUGCUAAGUUCGGCC
Stomoxys calcitrans (stable fly) is the source of this 419-nucleotide long non-coding RNA. RefSeq lists it as uncharacterized. The record is from RefSeq and is a predicted model, not a curated record. The transcript has 3 exons. NCBI's taxonomy places the organism in Eukaryota, Metazoa, Arthropoda, Insecta, Diptera, Muscidae.